Molecule: transfer RNA, 57 nt
Filed under: Bos taurus (domestic cattle)
Lineage: Eukaryota; Metazoa; Chordata; Mammalia; Artiodactyla; Bovidae
Also listed under: 1 other name
Rfam family: tRNA
About the family: Transfer RNA (tRNA) molecules are approximately 80 nucleotides in length. Their secondary structure includes four short double-helical elements and three loops (D, anti-codon, and T loops).
Source: Rfam by way of RNAcentral
UGGCUCAGACGGUAAAGCAUCUGCCUACAAUGCAGGAGAUCCAGGUUCAAUCCCUGG